Molecule: ribosomal RNA, 468 nt
Filed under: uncultured bacterium
Lineage: Bacteria
Description: partial 16S ribosomal RNA
Rfam family: Bacterial small subunit ribosomal RNA
Source: RNAcentral
GACGAACGCUGGCGGCGUGCUUAACACAUGCAAGUCGAACGGAAAGGCCCUGCUUUUGUGGGGUGCUCGAGUGGCGAACGGGUGAGUAACACGUGAGUAACCUGCCCUUGACUUUGGGAUAACUUCAGGAAACUGGGGCUAAUACCGGAUAGGAGCUCCUGCUGCAUGGUGGGGGUUGGAAAGUUUCGGCGGUUGGGGAUGGACUCGCGGCUUAUCAGCUUGUUGGUGGGGUAGUGGCUUACCAAGGCUUUGACGGGUAGCCGGCCUGUGAGGGUGACCGGCCACAAUGGGACUGAGAUACGGCCCAGUCUCCUACGGGCGGCAGCGGUGGGGAAUAUUGCCCAAUGGGCGGACGCCUGAUGCGGCAACGCCGCGUUCGGGAUGCCGGCCUUCGGGUUGUAAACCGCUUUCGCCUGUGACGAAGCGUGAGUGACGGUAAUGGGUAAAGAAGCACCGGCUAACUACGUG